RNAcentral lists this ribosomal RNA (394 nucleotides) under Polypedates pleurostictus. RNAcentral describes it as "partial 12S ribosomal RNA". Lineage: Eukaryota; Metazoa; Chordata; Amphibia; Anura; Rhacophoridae. The record is from RNAcentral.
CACAUGCAAGUAUCAGCAAUCCCGUGAAAAAGCCCUUUAAACCUCUUUCAGGCCAAGGAGCCGGCAUCAGGCACAGAAUUCUUGCCCACAACGCCUAGUCUUACCACGCCUUCAAAGGUAUUCAGCAGUGAUAAAAAUUGUCCAUAAGCGCCAGCUUGAGUCAGUUAAAGAAAAGAGAGCCGGCCAACCCGGUGCCAGCCGCCGCGGCUACACCGCCGGGCUCAAGUUGAUAUCUAUCGGCGUUAAGCGUGAUUAAAGAAAAUCAAAAUUAGAGUUAAACUUGAGCUCAGCCGUGAAAAGCUCGCCCAACAGAAAUACAUAAACGAAAGUUACUCUAACUACUCACUCUUGAAUACACGACAGUUUGGGAACAAACUGGGAUUAGUAGAUACCC